RNAcentral lists this long non-coding RNA (1780 nucleotides) under Equus caballus (horse). RNAcentral's name for it is "lncRNA (ENSECAG00000046397.1)". Lineage: Eukaryota; Metazoa; Chordata; Mammalia; Perissodactyla; Equidae. The record is from RNAcentral.
CUGAGAUUUGAGACUGUUGGAGGAAGCAAAACUGUGUGUCUUUCAUUAACGGAGGCAGAGAGGUUAAUGGAGACUUCUGCAUUACUCAGAGCCAGGUUUCUUAUGAGCCCUUAGAUGAAGCUCUAUUAUUCUCAUCUACUCUGCAGAGGAGAAAUGAAAAUAUACCCCCCAAACUUGGGUAAACAGAUGGGUGUUUAGGAGGCACUGUCCAGUCCCAGGGUUCAGCCAUGAACAAGACAGGAAUGUCGUCGGUCUCCUCUUGUUACUCACAUUCUAAAGGCGGAAAUGGUGCAAUGAAGCACAUAAAAGACGGUGAUGUGAUUGGCAGGUGAUGGGGUGGGGUGGUUGGGCACUCCUUUCGAUAGGGUGGUUGAGGAGAUGAUGAUGAAAAGGAGGCAGCCCUGUGAAGACGUUGGGGCUGAGGGGUCCAAGCAGAGACACAUCACAUUCAAGCAAAUGCCCUGAAGUGGGAAUGAGCAUGGUCUAUUGGCGGAAACAAAAGACACCGGUGUGGCUGGAGGGAUGUGAGAUGUGGGUCACAGUGAGAGUUUAGAUUUUUAGUGAAAUAGGAAGUUGCUAGAGGAUUUUAAGGAAAGAAGUCAUGUCCACGUUUUGCUUUCUCCUAAGUUCACUUAGCUGUGAGGAGAAUGGAUGCUAGUGGGCAGAUGUGUAAUCAAGGAAACCAAAGAGGACUCCAUGGCGGUGGUCCAGGCAGGGCAGGCGGCUGGGACUACAGCUGUGUAGGGGAGAUGUGAGAAGUGGGGGUGCAGGAUACAUUUUGGACAUGGGGCUUGGCAGUGGACUGGAAUUUGGGAAGCGAGGGAAAAAAUGACCCAGGAAUGGUUCCUAAAUGUUUGGCUUGACUGGCUGGGUGGAUGGUGGUACCAUUUCCUUAGAUGGGGGAAGUCUAAGGAGGAAUAAGUCUGGGAGUAAAAUCAAUGCUUUGUUUUGAUCCAGCUAUUUUUGGAAUGCUAUGGACCAAACAUAACUGUGGCUAAAAAUAAUACUUUUGCCGAAUCUAUCUGCAAUAGAAGGAGAGAUUUAGGGCACAGAGUAUAUGAACGACCAAAUAACAUUAGGAUGAUGCUGUUUCAGACCUAGAACGCCAACAAACGGUUGCCAUUGGGAGGCCCCUGGAGCGCUGUGCUUCUCCUCGAGAUUAUCGCAGCGUGAGGUCUAUUCAGAAUUUGUGGUCACUUCAGUUUUUUUCUCCCGUCACAGAUGUGUGGAUAUAUAUGCCUACAUUCUGGUGUUUAUCAUCACCUCGACACUGUCUAUUAACAGGCUGUGGAGAAAAAUAUCCAUCUGGAUGAGACGGACAGGAUCGCGGGACAGGAGGACUCUCAAUUUCACGCUGGAGCGCUGGGCUUUGCAGUUGGCCUCAGCGGGCGAUCGUUUCCUUGCUUAGUUAAAACAUAAAUCAGACUUCUGAACUAAUUUUAUUAUUUGCUCAUGGGAUUUUUAUUCGCAUUGAAAUAUAUUUUAAGAACAACAUGAAGUAAUUUCAAAUAUCUAUACACAACUUUUAUCAGCAUCUUUAUUCAGCUCAUUGAUUAGAUUUUUCUUGGUUACAAUUUUAUCAGAUCAAACAUUUGACACAUUUAAAUGCACUCAACUUCUUUUUGAGGAAGAUUAGCCCUGAGCCAACUACUGCCAGUCCUCCUCUUUUUGCUGAGGAAGACUGGCCCUGAGCUAACAUCCAUGCCCAUCUUCCUCUACUUUAUAUGUGGGAUGCCUGCCACAGCAUGGCGUGCCAAGCGGUGCCACAUCUGCAUCCGGG